UAAAACUAGCAGAAUACAUCAGAGUGAAGAGAGAGAGAGAGCGUGAGAAUGGUUAAAAUAGGAGGCAUCUUUGUCUGUCUCUUGAUUGCGGCCAUGGACAUCGGAGAUGGGAUUCUCGAUCGGCAUCGAAGCUGAAUUUGAACUAAACAAGCGGGUACUACUACAGGUCAAGAGAAUCAGGAUGGAGAUCGAGCUGCGUAGAGUAGCUGCAAUUGUGUCGAUCUAAAUUACUUUGUGAGGUGUAUUAUGCUCAUUUAGAGCUUUACAAUAUUGCUUGUGAGAGUGAAUUGUAAUAAUGAACUCGAGGUUUCGAGAUUUGGAGUUUGUGUACCGUGUGGUGAGGUUAUAUUGAGAAAAAAAUUCAGAACG
This is a long non-coding RNA of Rosa rugosa (rugosa rose), 369 nucleotides long. RefSeq lists it as uncharacterized. Lineage: Eukaryota; Viridiplantae; Streptophyta; Magnoliopsida; Rosales; Rosaceae. The transcript is spliced from 2 exons. The record is from RefSeq and is a predicted model, not a curated record.